RNAcentral lists this ribosomal RNA (434 nucleotides) under uncultured bacterium. RNAcentral's name for it is "partial 16S ribosomal RNA". It matches the Rfam family "Bacterial small subunit ribosomal RNA", at positions 29 to 507 of the family's 1533-position model. The record is from RNAcentral.
AGCGAACGCUGGCGGCAGGCCUAACACAUGCAAGUCGAACGACCCUUUCGGGGUUAGUUGCUGACGGGUGUGUCACACGUCGGAACGUUCCUUUAUGCUCGGAAUAACUCAGUUACACUUGUGCUAAUACCGAAUGUGCCCUUCUGGUGCAAGAUUAAUCGCCUUUAGAGCGGCCCGCGUCUGAUUAGCUAGUUGGUUGAGGUUAUGGCUCACCAAGGCGACGAUCAGUAGAUGGUCUGAGAGGAUGAUCAGCCACAUUGGGACUGAGACACGGCCCAAAAUACUACGGGAGGCAGCAGUGGGGAAUCUUGCGAAAUGGGCGAAAGCCUGAAGGAGCCAUGCCGGGUGAAUGAUGAAGGUCUUAGGAUUGAAAAAUUCUUUCACCGGGGACGAUAAUGACGGUACCCGGAGAAGAAGCCCCGGCUAACUUCGUG